CUUGAAAUUUAAAGAAUUUGGCGGUAUUUUAGUCUCGUUAGAGGAACCUGUUCUGUAAACGAUAAACCACGAAGUAUCUUACUUUAAUUUGUAAUAACAGUAUGUAUACCGCCAUUAUAAGAUAAGCUUAAAAAAGAAAAUUUAUUGUAAUAAUUUGUUAUUUAGAAUAUUAGGUCAAGGUGCAGCUAAUAUUAAAGUAGAAAUGGGUUACAAUAAUUGUAAGAGUAAUGCGGAUUUUAUUUUUAAAAUUUAAAUUAAGAUGGAUUUAAUUGUAAUUAUUAUUUAAUAUGAUUUAUUGGAAGAAGCUCUAAAAUAUGUACAUAUCGCCCGUCGCA
RNAcentral lists this ribosomal RNA (335 nucleotides) under Hippolyte bifidirostris. RNAcentral's name for it is "partial 12S ribosomal RNA". The record is from RNAcentral. Lineage: Eukaryota; Metazoa; Arthropoda; Malacostraca; Decapoda; Hippolytidae.